Molecule: ribosomal RNA, 611 nt
Filed under: uncultured prokaryote
Description: bacterial SSU rRNA
Rfam family: Bacterial small subunit ribosomal RNA
Source: RNAcentral
AGAGUUUGAUCCUGGCUCAGGAUGAACGCUAGCGGCAGGCCUAAUACAUGCAAGUCGAACGGUAGCAGACCCGGCAACGGGUGCUGACGAGUGGCGCACGGGUGCGUAACACGUAUGCAACCUACCCUGUACUGGGGGAUAACCCUGAGAAAUCGGGGCUAAUACCCCAUGGCAUUAUGAAGUGGCAUCACUUUAUGAUUAAAGAUUCAUUGGUACGGGAUGGGCAUGCGCCCCAUUAGUUAGUUGGUGAGGUAACGGCUCACCAAGGCAGUGAUGGGUAGGGGUUCUGAGAGGAUUAUCCCCCACACUGGUACUGAGACACGGACCAGACUCCUACGGGAGGCAGCAGUAAGGAAUAUUGGGCAAUGGAGGCAACUCUGACCCAGCCAUGCCGCGUGCAGGAAGACUGCCCUAUGGGUUGUAAACUGCUUUUGUAUGGGACUAACCGUGGUUACGUGUAACUGCCUGCAUGUACCAUACGAAUAAGCAUCGGCUAACUCCGUGCCAGCAGCCGCGGUAAUACGGAGGAUGCGAGCGUUAUCCGGAAUUAUUGGGUUUAAAGGGUGCGUAGGCUGACAAGUAAGUCAGUGGUGAAAUACCCCGGCUUAACC